RNAcentral lists this long non-coding RNA (1097 nucleotides) under Monodelphis domestica (gray short-tailed opossum). RNAcentral describes it as "lncRNA (ENSMODG00000033956.2)". The record is from RNAcentral. Lineage: Eukaryota; Metazoa; Chordata; Mammalia; Didelphimorphia; Didelphidae.
CCCAAAGGGAGGGAGUCCUUAGCAUGCUGGUGGGGCUGGGGCAGCCCAGUUGAAAAGCGCACAUGCUCCAUAUUUAGGUGGAUGGGUGUAUAGAUGUCGGUGGUCCAGGUACCACUACCCCCACAUCUUCUCCCUUGUAGGAUUGGAAUUGGUGACCUGGUUUGUGUUCUGAGGAUGACAGGUCAGGUAAGCUCGGGUAGAGAAAUCUUGAAUCAGACAAGAGAGAAUCCAGUCUUUUUCUUACCUGCUUGGCUGGCUUUGGAGCCUCUAGCUCAGGAUUUUUUCAUCAAGAGCCUUUGUAACCUCUCCCACUGCAGAUUACCUCAUGCUGUUGGAAAUCCAGGCCCCUGCUCUCACUCUAAAGGGGUGUCUUAUCUCUCACAAAGGACUGGAGACUCCUGCACAAGAGGGGCCUCAACUGCUUUUGUUUCACAACGUCCCCAUCCUUCCACAAAGACUCAAUGAUGGACUGACUAAAAAGCAUUCGGACCCAGGACACUUCUAUCUCUCCAGUACCCUCCUCCCAGAAGAGAGGAAGUACACAAGGUCCUUACUAGGGUUUUCUGCCCUCAUCUGCAAUCAUGUUGAUGUUCAUGAACUCCAGACAUUCUUUAGUAUAAAAGAAAUUGAGUGCCCAGGCAGAAGUGGGGGGGGGGGGGCUGAUGAGUCCUUUCCUCUCCUCCCCAUUACAGUUUUCACACCUGGAAGAAGGAUUCAGGCUGAAGUAAUAACUUCAAGGUGGGGGUUGGUUGGGGGAGGAGGGGGCACACACAUUUAGGGCAGCUGGGAUUCCUCUCACUAGCUGCAGUCCAGUUGCUCCCAGAGGUGGAGCCCCCAAAGCUUAUGUCCCUCCGAGGGUGUCCAGGCUCCAGUCCCCCUUCUCUCCUUUUCACUGUGGCCUCCCAAGCAUCUUUGCGCUGCCCCCAUGACCCCCAGCCGGCUUCACGCCUGGCUGCCUGGAAUCUGUAGCCGCCCUUGUUUUCUGGCCCAGGAAGGGGAUUUAAUGCUGGUGAGAGAUGGCAGGUUGACAGGCGCAGAGAUUAAAGCCCGAGGCUCUGGCCGAGAAGCAGGGUUGGCCUCCACAGAACCCCUGCCCC